AUGGCCUUUCCGGCGACCCCUACCGUACUACUGAUGGUACGGCCAUUGCGUGUCGCUGUUGCCCGCCACUGCUACGUUGAUGCUGCUCGCCGCCGGUGCGUGCUGCUAUUGUUGCUGCUCCUCCCUAUUGCGUGUUGCUGCUGCUCGUCGCCGGUCCGCGCUGCUGCUGCUUGUCGACCAAGGAUCUCUCUAGUUAAUCAAGUCUUCCUAAGGGAGAAGGACCUCAUCGUAGAUCGCCAAGACCUCCUAACCGAGAAGGAUUUCCAGGGAAAUGGCGCCACCACCACCACCACCAUGUCGAUGGUGCAAGUCAAGAUCGUCCCAUGCAAUGUGAGGUCAGAAUUCAACAAUCUGACCGGAGACUCUGUGACCUUUGAGGCUCCUGGGGGCCCCUACACUAUGGAGAUCGAGAAAGUACGAAAGAUGACGCAGGUGGGAGGAGAUGGAUGGGUCCGUUUCAUUGCCCACAUGCGUAUCACCGGUGGUGAGUUGACCAGCUUCUCCUUCAGAGCUAAAAGACCCAAGCUGGCCGUGAUUUAUGUCAACAAAGCAGAAGAUUAUGAGGGUGAUGAGGAUGAUGAGGAUGAUGACGACCCACUCGGUGAUGCCAUCGUAGCUCAGAGAAUGAAGUUGAGCGAGGAGGAGGUGUGCAACCUAUGGGACAUCAUUCCGCCAGGUGCUGACUUCGUCGGGGUGCCAUUCCUGACCCGCCUGACAAGUACCAUGGUUGAUCGGCAUAUCAUGAAAUUGCCAAAGAGCCUAUUUGAGAGUUGUGGUAUCAAGCCUGAUGAAGAAAGCUCUGCUGGAAUACGCCUUACUGCAAGGGGCUCCGUCGCCACUUGUGCGUACGGCGUGGACACGGACGGUCGCACACACUUCAACUCGGUUGGGUGGAAGAGCUUCCUCGUCGGCAAGAAUCUUCAUGUUGGAUAG
This 933-nucleotide ribosomal RNA is filed under the name Triticum aestivum (bread wheat). RNAcentral describes it as "partial small subunit ribosomal RNA". The record is from RNAcentral. Lineage: Eukaryota; Viridiplantae; Streptophyta; Magnoliopsida; Poales; Poaceae.